RNAcentral lists this small nuclear RNA (21 nucleotides) under Arabidopsis thaliana (thale cress). RNAcentral describes it as "snRNA_13525". The record is from RNAcentral. Lineage: Eukaryota; Viridiplantae; Streptophyta; Magnoliopsida; Brassicales; Brassicaceae.
GCAUAGAUUCUUUGCGAACGA